GGGAGGAUUGGGGGAGGGGAAGAGGGAACGGAAGAAAAACUUCUUGUCUACCACAUUAAGACGUCAAUGGAUGUUUAAGAUGAUGACUCAAGCUAUCUAAGAAUAGUGUUAUUUACAAAUGGAGUGGUAAAGAAGAAACAGCUUUCAAGAGAAGAAGGGCCACCAGGAAACACACCUUCAGGAAACACCAUUUCUGUUCUAGUCCAAAGGGCACCAUCCACCUGGACCAGAAUAUGAGAUGCCCUUUGGAGUUGCACAGAGGUCCUGCCUCUUUCCACCUGCACUGCUGUCACCCUGGCCCGGCCGCCACCCUCUCACUGUAUUUCUGCAGCUGAGACCUAGGCCUUAUGCAAGGGAAGGCCCAGGCCAGGAGGGGCCUCACAGCAAGAGUGAAGGAUGCCGCUUGGACAAAAGAGGAGGGUGGAAGACUGGAUGCCACGGAGAAGCCCUUCCAUGCCCAGGAGCUGGCGUGGCAUGAACUUUGGGAGGCCCCAGAGCCUCUGACCCCCCCUUCUAAACCAGCACCGUAUUCUGAUUGGCUGUCUCUGCCUGCCUCGGUUUAUUCUUCUUACUGAUCGACCACCUCUUUCCACCGUGUCAGAUCUCUGUUCCUACUGGUCCAGUCCCCCCACCUGCCACAGGGUCACCCGGGAUGGCCUGGGUUCUGCAAGGCCUCGACGGCUUGCCUCUUGCCACCAUCAGAUUCUUCCUCAUUAAACAAAUGAAUCACAAUCCUAAUUAAUUUGAGCAACAGAAUU
Molecule: long non-coding RNA, 758 nt
Organism: Felis catus (domestic cat)
Lineage: Eukaryota; Metazoa; Chordata; Mammalia; Carnivora; Felidae
Exons: 3
Source: RefSeq, a predicted model, not a curated record